Macadamia integrifolia is the source of this 858-nucleotide long non-coding RNA. RefSeq lists it as uncharacterized. The record is from RefSeq and is a predicted model, not a curated record. NCBI's taxonomy places the organism in Eukaryota, Viridiplantae, Streptophyta, Magnoliopsida, Proteales, Proteaceae. The transcript is spliced from 2 exons.
UCUCUGAAUCGCAUUAAAUUCGAAUGAACAGAAAUACAUAUUUGUUAUUGGAGACGAAAAUUUCUAUCGCUAAAUUGGAGACGGAUAGUUAACUGUCCUAAAUUAAAGAAAUUUCUUCAAAUUCCCUUCCCACUUACCUGCGUGUUCAAAUUUCUCUAAAAUCCCAAUUUCGUAUCAAUACUUUCUCUCUUGUUCUCUCUUCUCUACAAACCCUCAUCUCUCUGAACUCCCCAUCUUGUUGAUCUAGAAUCUCCUUUACCUUCGCAUUCACUGAUUCAAGAGGGGAAGGAGAAGAAAAAUCAACAAGGAGAAGAAUAAUUGAAAAGAAGAACUCAGAGACAGAUCACAGGAGAAGGGGUUUCAGAGAGAAGGAGAUCGCAGAAGAAAGGGGUUUCAGAGAGAAGAAAGAUAGCUGAGAGAGAGAGAAGGUUACAGAGAAGGAGAUGGCUGGUGAGAAGGGGUUUUAGAGAGAAGGUUCCAAGGAGAAAAAUCGCAGAUUAAAGAAGGGGUUUCAAAGGCGAUUUUGGCUGGGUAGAAGUGAGGAGUUCGGUAGGAGCAGAUCGGUUCUUUCGAUCUUGAGAGAGAACAGAAGAUCUCUAACUUGGAACAACCAGCCAUCUUUGAAGAUCGAAGGUUGAAGUUGCUACAAGAUAUUAUUGAAUGUUAACGACAAAGAUAUUUGGGGGGGGAAAAUAGUUUUAUCUAUCAAUUUGUUUGAUGACGAUGUAAGUUUUAAAUUUGUAUAGAUUUAUCUCAAGUUGUUAAUUUUGGAUGAUGUAAAUAUUAAAUGUCUACUUGGAUCUACUAAUGUAUAACAACAGGGUAAUAUAUGUGUACGAAAAACACAUUUUUUAUUUA